GUCACCCCACACAUCCCCCUUUCUCUCUGGUGAAAUAAAAUUAAAUUAAAAGCGUGGAUUCAAAGGUUCAACUGAAUAGGUAGUAUAAAUGCGUGCGCAGUACCCUUUGAAAAAUGCUGCACAGAUUUCCCAGCUGUCUUCCUUCUAGUCCUCCCACUUGAAGAAGAAAAACGAUCAUAGCAAUCCUUAAAAAAAAUCGGCAUGACAGUUUCAAUUUUUCCCUGCAAGAAUCAAGACCAAAAAAUUCCUCAUCAAACCAGGGCCUAUCAGGACUAUCUUAGAAAAGCUGUAGCACCAGCGCGUAUAUCAAGACAUUGAAACAAGAAUAAAAUAAUUAUCUUAUAAAAAGUUCUUCAAUUCUGCGAACGUAUUCGGAGAGAUGUGAAGGGGGUCGCUUCAUCCGGCUGGAUCGCUCGCGAACACCAUCGCUGUCAGGAACAUCGGAACCUGUGUGAUCCUUGUCCGCUUCAGAUGAUGUCUCUCGCCACAGCAGCUGGCGGCGAUGGUGGUAUCGGAAGAAUGGGCACCGGAGAUGGCUCCCGACGACGACGAGGCGAUCGAGAUCGAUCGCGAUCUGGCACUGGCGACGGCGAUCUGGUUCGCGAUCGGUUUCGCGGCUCCUGCUGUUGUUUCGGCUGCUGGCCGGUCUGGGCGCUCCGCCGACGGCCACUCGUCUCACGGAGAGCUCCCACCUGGGGUUUACACCCGCGGGCUGACUGCUAAAAUAAUAAAAAACAUUAAAAAUGAAAAAUAAAAAUUACGUGUGUAUCGCA
Molecule: long non-coding RNA, 773 nt
Organism: Aedes albopictus (Asian tiger mosquito)
Lineage: Eukaryota; Metazoa; Arthropoda; Insecta; Diptera; Culicidae
Exons: 2
Source: RefSeq, a predicted model, not a curated record